Microcebus murinus (gray mouse lemur) is the source of this 484-nucleotide non-coding RNA. The record is from RefSeq and is a predicted model, not a curated record. NCBI's taxonomy places the organism in Eukaryota, Metazoa, Chordata, Mammalia, Primates, Cheirogaleidae.
CCCAGGCAGCCUGCCACCUCUGAUCGUGUAUGGACGCGAAGAUUCAGAAUUCUGCUCCACCUCCCAGCUGGGGCCCCUGGCCACCCUCGAGGUGCAGGUUGUCUACCUUGACCAUGAUGAGCCACCUGCACCCAGUCCUGUCUGGGACUCAUGUUUCAAGUGCUGUGCCAAAGUCAAUGAGAGUGAAGCUACAGCCGGCAUCCAGCUCCAAGCUUCCUGCAUUCAGUCCUUUGAUGCCUCCAGCUGUGAUAUCUCAGAUGCUGCUGCUUGACAAUCCACAUAAAGAACCUAUCCGGUUACGGUAUAAGCUGACAUUCAACCAAGGUGGGCAGCCUUUCAGUGAAGUAGGAGAAGUGAAAGACUUUCCAGACCUGGCUGUCUUGGGUGCAGCCUAACUUUUCACAAGAUGGACCCUUCAGUUCAAGCUUAAGCCAGCGUUACUUUUGCUGUCUAGACUGGACUAAUCACGGUGUUUUAGUGCACA